Molecule: ribosomal RNA, 415 nt
Filed under: Acanthamoeba genotype T4
Lineage: Eukaryota; Discosea; Longamoebia; Acanthamoebidae
Description: SSU rRNA
Rfam family: Eukaryotic small subunit ribosomal RNA (bases 1-355)
Source: RNAcentral
AGCUGCAGAUUCAAUUUUCUGCCACCGAAAUACAUUAGCAUGGGAUAAUGGAAUAGGACCCUGUCCUCCUAUUUUCAGUUGGUUUUGGCAGCGCGAGGACUAGGGUAAUGAUUAAUAGGGAUAGUUGGGGGCAUUAAUAUUUAAUUGUCAGAGGUGAAAUUCUUGGAUUUAUGAAAGAUUAACUUCUGCGAAAGCAUCUGCCAAGGAUGUUUUCAUUAAUCAAGAACGAAAGUUAGGGGAUCGAAGACGAUCAGAUACCGUCGUAGUCUUAACCAUAAACGAUGCCGACCAGCGAUUAGGAGACGUUGAAUACAAAACACCACCAUCGGCGCGGUCGUCCUUGGCGUUCGUGUUCACGCACGGGCGCGAGGGCGGCUUAGCCCGAUGGCACCGGUGAAUGACUCCCCUAGGGUGG